RNAcentral lists this unclassified non-coding RNA (648 nucleotides) under Hevea brasiliensis (rubber tree). Lineage: Eukaryota; Viridiplantae; Streptophyta; Magnoliopsida; Malpighiales; Euphorbiaceae. The record is from RNAcentral.
CGAUCUCGCAUAUUAUCUUAUGCUUCUUCAUGCCAAUGGAGAGGGUGAAUUUGGUUUUAUGAAGACCAUGUUUAGUGCCUUCUCUUCGACAAAUGACCCACUUGACUACCAUAUGAUCUGGCAUCAGCGAGCAGUGUUGGAAGCUAUUGGUGUUUUAUCCUCUAAUGAUCUUCAAGUUCUUGACAUGGGACUUGUUUCACAGCUGUUGUGUAUUGGGCAAUGUCAUUGGGCUGUCUAUGUGGUCCUUCACAUGCCAUACCGUGAUGAUUAUCCAUAUCUCCAAGCUACCCUUAUUCGGGAAAUUUUGUUUCAGUAUUGCGAAACUUGGAGUUCAGAUGAAUCACAACGCCAAUUUAUCGAGAACCUUGACAUUCCUCUGUCAUGGCUGCAUGAAGCUAUGGCAGUUUACUUCAGUUACCAUGGGGACCUCUUGAAGGCCCUUGAGCACUAUCUUGAAUGUGCAAAUUGGCAGAAGGCUCAUUAUAUUUUCAUAACUUCAGUUUCACAUAAAUUGUUUUUAUCAGGCAACCACUCAGAGAUAUGGAGGCUUGCAACUUCGAUGGAGGACCACAAGUCUGAAAUUGAAGACUGGGACUUGGGAGCUGGAAUUUAUAUAUCUUUUUAUCUGAUAAGGAGUUCAUUGCAAGA